Molecule: ribosomal RNA, 253 nt
Filed under: uncultured bacterium
Lineage: Bacteria
Description: partial 16S ribosomal RNA
Rfam family: Bacterial small subunit ribosomal RNA
Source: RNAcentral
UACGUAGGGUGCGAGCGUUAAUCGGAAUUACUGGGCGUAAAGCGUGCGCAGGCGGUUUUGUAAGCCAGAUGUGAAAUCCCCGGGCUUAACCUGGGAAUGGCAUUUGGGACUGCAAGGCUUGAGUGCGGCAGAGGAGACUGGAAUUCCCGGUGUAGCAGUGAAAUGCGUAGAUAUCGGGAGGAAUACCGAUGGCGAAGGCAGGUCUCUGGGCUGACGCUGACGCUCAUGCACGAAAGCGUGGGGAGCAAACAGG